RNAcentral lists this ribosomal RNA (253 nucleotides) under uncultured bacterium. RNAcentral describes it as "partial 16S ribosomal RNA". It matches the Rfam family "Bacterial small subunit ribosomal RNA", at positions 524 to 776 of the family's 1533-position model. The record is from RNAcentral.
UACGUAGGGUGCGAGCGUUGUUCGGAAUUACUGGGCGUAAAGGGCGCGUAGGCGGCCCGCUAAGUCGAACGUGAAAUCCCCGAGCUCAACUCGGGAACUGCGUCCGAUACUGGCGGGCUUGAAUCCGGGAGAGGGAUGCGGAAUUCCAGGUGUAGCGGUGAAAUGCGUAGAUAUCUGGAGGAACACCGGUGGCGAAGGCGGCAUCCUGGACCGGCAUUGACGCUGAGGCGCGAAAGCUAGGGGAGCAAACGGG